UUUAUUUCCCAUUUUCUUGGAAGUGAGGAAGUGCAUUAUCUCAUUCCUCCAAUAAUGAAUGGCCUCCUCAAGAUCCUCCCUCAGCUCUACUAUAUCUAUAAUUCUAAAAGUCGUAAUGAACAUAUACUUUAAUAUGCUGUGAUAAUUAAGGUUCUGAAUAAUAUCUUUGCUUUGCAGUGAUACAGCGCAAAGAUGUUCAAACUUUGGUACAUAAGCUGUUUUCAGUGGCUUUCCAGAAGCAACUCCAGCUGUCUAAACCUCUGCACCCAUGCCUGCCUGCUGCCACACAGGUGCUCACCUGGCUCGUACAGCACCAGGACAAAUGCAGCUGUCUCACAGCUUGUCAUCUAUGUGGCUCUCCACAGGGGAUGUCACCAGACAGCAAAGCAUUUAGUCCAAAAAGAGUAUCGUGUGUGACUAUACAAAUUCAACAUACGACCAAGCCAGGGCACCAGAGCAAUAGAAGAAGCCAAAAUGAGCCGGAAAAACAAAAGGAGUUUAAAGGAGAAAUUUGCCUUGAAGAACAGCUUGGUUAAAGAAGCCCUUUCAGAAUUCCUGGGAACUUUUAUACUGAUAGUAAGUGUCAGCUGCUUUCCUUCCUUCUUACUAAUUUAAUGUUGGACAGUGCUCGUAAGGGGACAUGUGUGCUUUUUCCUUGUACUAUACCAGCAGCGUGGUUACUGCCUGACAAACACUGCACAGCCUUGAAUGAAUUGCUGCUGUUUAUGGUAAGUUUGUAAUUCCUUUCUUCACCUGAUGUAAUUAUCACCGGCUGUUAAACACUCAUAGUUUUACGUAUUACAACUGUCUGAUAAACAUUUGAUUUUUAAAGGAGCAGAAUUUGAGUGAACAGCCACGUUCUAAAAAGUUCAGACGCAAUGAAUGUUAGCAAUACUCCUGCAUUCUUUAACUCUGUAUUUUAUUCUACUUUCACUUCUAUGUACAAUUUCCAUUUGCUUUAACAACCCCACUGGACUGCACAUUUAGAAGAUAAUUUUAGCUGUUAUUUUCCUGUGCUCACAGAGACUGAUCCAUGUGACUUGUACUGAGCUUAUCAAGUUGUGCUGCCGAAUCUUUAGAGAUUUUGUAAAUUAACUAUUUUUUGUUUAGUUUUCAAUUGUAUUACAUAAAUUAUACAUUUGCUUGUUAUGUAGUCUGUUACAGUGUUACAUAAAGAGCAAAGCUCCACAUUUUCACAUCCCUAAUUUUUUUUUAAACUUCAUUUCUUGCUCAAGUUUUUGUGCAUUUUGUACUGGGACACAAAGCUGUCUGGUGAUUUACCAGGGUAGAGAGCAGUCUCAGCAACAGAGCUGGAAGUCAAGCAAAUAGAAUACUUAUGCCAAACUCUUUCUCCCUCCCGUUAGUCUGACAAAACAGUUCUGUUUAUUGCUAAAUAUUUCAUCGUAGUGAAAAGACAAAAAAUUAAAAAUAAGGCAUAGGACUCACAUAGUAUGUUUUAUAACUGGAACUGUAUUAGCUAAAUUUCAAGUAAGCCAUCUAAAAAAUUCCAGUAGCUCAUAAAAUACAUGAAAAUAAUGGUCUUUACUACGCUUCAGCCAAUUGAAGGGCAGAGGCACUAAAGUAACAUUAUUCUCAAAUUUAAUACCCUCCAUAAGACAUUACAGUAAGGAGCACAUUUAGAAGCAAGGAGCACAAAGCACUUUACAAACAUAAUGAAUUAAGUGUCACAACACCCUGGUAAGGAAGGGAAAUGUCAUUAUCUUCAUUUUAUAUAUUAGCAAACCUGAUUAGAGCAGACUGCACAGGAAGCCUGUUGCAGAACUCCGAAUAUAACCAAGAUCACCUGACUUCCAGUCCUCUGUCCUCGCUACAAGAUCAUACUCCUCUGUCCAUUAAUACAAUUAAGCAAGUGAGGAAAAUGCAUUAAAGUGCAGAUUAAAUCUCAAAUGCUAUUACUUAAUGUCCUGCUGCAGAAGACUAGAAGGAAAUGGAAACCCAGAAUCCAUUUUGUAUGACAUUCAUCGUAUGAAUACAGUAGAAAGUGAAUCUUCAAAAAUGUUGUUGAUAACUUGGUGAAUUUUUCAAUUCUGUUUUAGUCCUUCUAGUUUUAACCUUAGCUUAAAGCAGAAAAGAGCCUCACAUGGAUUUAACUGCAGCUUUCCAAGUGCUCAGAUACCCCGAUUUAUUUUUAGACUGUGCUAGUUAGCAGAAGUACAAAGUUUAUUGGGAAGAAAUGGACUUUUCUGCUGCUAUUUACUGCUAUUAGACUCUGUCAGCAACUUUAAGAGCAGACAAGUACUAAAUUUUUAUCUGAAAUUAGAGCUAAUGAAAGGGAGCCCUGUUAAGUUAGGAGACAGAAAUCCUUGACAAACACCUAACAUGUAUGCAAAAUAAGCAACAGCUUUCUUUCUCUAUACUAUUACUAUGCUUUAAUCCUGUUUCAAAGUGAAAGCAAGAUGACUGCUCAUAGUCACAGGUGGUUUGGCUCUUCCCUGAAAGCCAUUCUGUGCCUCUGCCCUGUAUCUUACAGCUAGUGGGAAGCAUCUGCACCAGGGUUCAGGGCAGUGAGGAGCUCUUCCAUUACCCAUAGGUUUUGUCUAGAAGUGUUAACUGAUGGUACCCAAACCUAUGAACAUCCCAGCACCUCUGGAAGUCAGCUGGGUGAAAUUCUAUCCCCCAGACUACCUGUUUCUCUUUCUUCUAGAGAACAUCACAGAUCAUGUACUAUUAAGAGCUUAAGUUGCCAUCUUGGGUAACUCUCCACUCUUGCAAUAUUGUUUUCCAAAUUGUAUAAUGUAAAAUCUGUAGGAUU
Molecule: long non-coding RNA, 2773 nt
Filed under: Meleagris gallopavo (turkey)
Lineage: Eukaryota; Metazoa; Chordata; Aves; Galliformes; Phasianidae
Description: lncRNA (ENSMGAG00000021566.1)
Source: RNAcentral